Molecule: non-coding RNA, 99 nt
Filed under: Clostridium magnum
Lineage: Bacteria; Bacillati; Bacillota; Clostridia; Eubacteriales; Clostridiaceae
Also listed under: 1 other name
Description: TPP sequence
Rfam family: TPP riboswitch aptamer (THI element)
About the family: Vitamin B(1) in its active form thiamin pyrophosphate (TPP) is an essential coenzyme that is synthesised by coupling of pyrimidine and thiazole moieties in bacteria. The previously detected thiamin-regulatory element, thi box was extended, resulting in a new, highly conserved RNA secondary structure, the THI element, which is widely distributed in eubacteria and also occurs in some archaea. Analysis of operon structures identified a large number of new candidate thiamin-regulated genes, mostly transporters, in various prokaryotic organisms.
Source: RNAcentral
UUAGUUUUGUGGGGGAACCAUUUGGUUGAGAAGGUUAAACCUGACCCUUUGAACCUGAUUCAGUUAACACUGACGUAGGGAAGCAAAUAGAUUUAUAUA